Long non-coding RNA from Cavia porcellus (domestic guinea pig), 6463 nucleotides. RefSeq lists it as uncharacterized. NCBI's taxonomy places the organism in Eukaryota, Metazoa, Chordata, Mammalia, Rodentia, Caviidae. The transcript is spliced from 2 exons. The record is from RefSeq and is a predicted model, not a curated record.
CGAAGCGAGAGGAAGCGGGGUCGCCCUUCCCCCCGGGGCGGGUUGUUUCCGCCUGUGCCUGGCGGGCAGGCGGGCAGGACAUCGUUCCUGACUCCUGGAAGCUUCAUACAUGUAUUUUAAUUCAAUGGCUACCUACUCAUUUUUUGAGGUUGAGUUUUUGUGGGGUUUUUUUGGUUUUAUUUUUGGUACCAGGGUUCAAACUCAUGACUGCAUGCUUGCAAGGCAGGUACUUAUGCCACUGAGCUAAAUCUCCUACCUAUCCAUUUGUUAACCUAUACUGUCUUGCUCUCUUAUGUCACUAAGCCAUGUAUUUUUCAUGAAACUAAACUGUUUAUACUUUCCAGACUGUGUAGCAUGUACAUUUAUGAUAUACAGUAUUCACCAUGCCUAAUACAUGAUAGUGUUAUAUACAGAAAAUGUUAAAAAGCCACACAGCACCCAAGCUAUCUGCCACAGAAGAGUUCUUGAUCAGAACGGAAGGACCUUCAAACCUUGGUCUGAAAUUGGGGCAUAGCAGAUAGAUAGUGAGAUAGGCAACUCUGGAUGAUAUGACAGAAAUCUUUGCCUGCACAAAGCAGAGGAAGUUGAGAGAUUCAACAGAUGGCAUCUCAGAGAGUCCUAGAUAGCUGAGCUAUCUGGCCAUAAACUCAAGUACCACACCCAGCCCUGAAAAGGGAGAAGGAGGAAGUUUCAUAAUCAAUUGGGAAGCCCCGAAGACUACAUAUGAAUUUCAAUCUCCCAUCCAUCCUAACGUCCCCCAUGGAGGAUGAGUUCAGCUGCUCUGUUGAGGCACUUAAAAGCCUAGGUGGUGGGGAGAGCUCCAAAGUCUGUGCUUUCUAGCCAUUUGAAGAAGGUUUCCCCUGUUUAGCAUUAAAAACUAUAGUGCUGGUGAUGUAUACUGCUUCAGUAAUCUACAAUUCCUGAGUUGGAUCUCUAGCAUUGCCAAAAAUAAAAGUAAAGCCAAACAAAACCUGUUAAAGCUAUCUUUUAACUCCAAGAAGGAUAAACAUGUAAUGCUCAAGAAUCAGUGGAGAAGGAACUCAUAGUUGUCUAAAUAUGGCAUAUAUGUAAAAGUAACAAUAUAAAAGUAAAAUAUAGUUUAGAUGGUGACAAAUUUUUUCUGUGAAAGGCCAGCAGUCAUUAAUUCUGGUUUUGUAGUCUGUACAUUCUUUUGUCAAAACUAGUCCAGUCCUGCUUCAAUAAUUAAAAAAUGAAUCCUCGGGUGAGGCUUCAUACACUCAAAGCAGAGUAUAUAAAAGUCAGGUAACACCUUUACAAAUCAGAAUGUCAAAGCAAAGAGACUGUAUUAGUGGCAGUCAUGCUUUAUAUGGAAAGAAAACCUAUAGCAAAUAAUAGGUAAAUUAGUAGCAGAUCUUUUGAAAUCAACAGGAAAAUGGUUAAAUUAAAGCCUCAAUUUUCUGACUUUAAAUAAAUUUGAUUGUUAUUGUUUAUUCAAGUGAAAUAUUAUUCUGAAGUUAGGAAACUCCCAGGUUUUAAAGGAGAACAUAAUUAAAAUAAUGUAGUUAAGCAAACAAAGAUUGAAAGUAGGACCAACAAUAAGCACAAGAUUUGGUGGAAAAUGGUGAAUGUGUAUCAUUCAAAAUAAAACAUACUGAAUAUAAAAUUAUAAUGGUAACCAUUAGAAGAGCAGAACAUGUUUCUAAGUUACAAUCUAGUGGGUUAUCAAGAUAAAAUUUAAAUAUUAAAUGUAAGUUAUUAAAUAUAAAAUAAAAUAUUCUAGAUUGGACUUAAUAAUGUAAUUCUAAAAGUGUUCCUUAAGUCACAAGGAAAUAUGCAUCCUGAACACAAAAGUAAGAAAAAUUAUGCAAAGCAAAUAGCAAGUAAUAAUUAGUUUGGGUAGUCAUACACUUAGCUGGUAAAAAAUUUGCAUAUAAAGCAACAGAACAGAAUCAUAAAAGAUAUUAAUAAAAGUGAGAAAGUGGAUGUGCUGAGACAUAGUGCAGUUUUUUAAAUGAUAAUAAUGCUGAUGAAUUAAAAGCUUUGAAGAGAUAAGCAGUUUUGCAGAAAAACAAAUUCAUGGGAAAUGGAAAUACUGAAAUAUUCAUGAUUUUAAACAAUGUGUGUAUUUUAAAAGUUUCUUUUCCCUUCUCAAAAAAUGCAAAAGCAAAACUAAAAAAGCAUAAGGUAAAUAUUUUCACAAAUAAACAACUAAAAAUCCAAGAAAAAUGUAAUCAUGAGGGUAUACAAACACUUCUAGGGAAAAGAAGAAGGGACUGCAAUGGCCAACACAUAACGUAAGAGCAAUAACUUUGAUAACAAAAACAAGCAAGAGCCAUUAGGAAAGAAAAUUUCAGGCCAAAUUUACUCAUGAACCUAUCUGGCAAAAUAACAAAAUACUUCAAAAUGGCAAGUGACAAAAUGCAAAUUACAUCUAAAUUGCUAAAAUGAUUGAAUAUUGCAAAAGCUAUGAACUAAAUACUUUCUGCAUUAUAGCAGGGAAUAAAUAUACAUCUGGCAAUAAAAACUGAAAAAAUCAUUGGUUAAAUUUUAACACUUUAUACAAUUUGUAAAAAGCAAUUUCAGCAACAGAAGACUAUUACUAUAUAAAUGGCCCUCCACAAAGCUAUGACUUAUGAGUAAUGUAUGAGAAGGAUUUCAUUAACAGUUAUAAAGGAAAGAUGGUUGUUACCACCUUUUUGAUUCAAUCGUAUACUAAACAUCCUAAACUAGGAGUUAGAUGAAAAGAAAGAAAAAAUCCUGAAAACGAGAUUUUAGGACAAAAUAAAGAGAAAAGAAGUGCAUAUUCACAACAUUUCAUAUAAGUUUCACAAAAAAUGAGCUAUUAAAUAUUUUAAAAGUGUAUGGUAAAGUUUUGCUGAAAAAUCAUACAUCUAUUAAUGAAAGUAGAGAGAUAAGCUAUAUCCCCUGGACCAAUAUAUCUUGAUUCUUUUCCCCCCACCCCCUCCUCUCCCUUCAGUCCCUCUUCCUCUCCUUAUUUACAAAAGCUUUGUUUCCAUUUUUCUCUUCAAUUCACCCCCCCAUUCACCUUCCAAGCUAAACAUUUUACUUCCUCUUUCCCAGUAUUUGUUAUACAUUUUGGUCCUUAUUUACUCUUUAAGGAUCAAAAUAUAUAACAAUUCAAUAUUUAAAUUUGUGUCUAAUUUAUUUCACUAAAUAGUAUGGUGUCAAGUGCAUCCAUUUAUCCAGAAAUGUCUCAAGUUUAUCUUUGUUUAUGGCAGAGUAGUACUCCAUUGUAUUUUUAAAAAUAGACAUCUUCUGUAUCCAUUCAUCUAUUGAUGGGCAUUGGGGCUGUUUUCAAGACUUAGUUGUUACAGACUUGCUGCUAUAAACAUGGGUGUGCAUUUAUUACUGCAGUAUGAUGUUUUUAAUUCUUUUGGGAAGAUACCAAGAAGAGAAAUAGCUGGGUCAAAUGAAACCUCUGAUUCUAGGAAUUUUGAGAAAUAUCCACACUGAUUUCCACAGUGGUUAAUACUCUCACCAACAGAAGACAAGAGUUUCUCUCCACUGCCCCAACAGCAUUUGGUGUUGGUUGAUAUCUUGAUAACAACCAUUCUUUCUGGAGUGAAAUGGAAUCAGCAUUGUUUUAAUUUGCAUCUCUCGAAUAAAGAGUUAUGUUGAAUAUUGUUUGAUAUUCAACUGAGACAUGUCCAUUCAUUGCAGAUGCCCAUUUUUUAUUGGGUCUUUAGAUUUGGAGAAAUCUGGUUUUGUUAGUUCUUUUUAUAUUCUAGAUAUUAGUCCUUUGUCUGAGGAACAACUGGAAAAAUUUUUCUCACUCUGUGGGUUGUCUUUUCACUCUAUUGGUGGUUUCUUUUGCUGUGCAAAGCUUUAUAAUGAGAUGAGAUCCCAGCUGUUGCUUCUUUCUAAAAUUUUCUGUGUGAUCACGGUUUUAUUCACAAAGUGUUUGCCUACACCAGUGUCUUCAUGGGUUCCAUCUAUUCUAUUAUCCAGCUGAUACAGUGUUUCUGUUUUAAUAUUUAGAUAUUUGAUCCAUUUCAAUUUCAGGUUAGUGCAAGGUGAAGAAAUACUCAGUAUUUUGUUAGAUUAUCUUUUCAGAAAACCUAUAGAUGAACUACAGUCUAGUAAGAUAGUUCAAGGAAUUUGUGGGUUGAUUCUAAAAUUUAUAUAAAAUAAUAAAUGAUCAAGAAUUGUUUAUUUUCAGUAACAACAGCUGACUUGUCCCAGCUCAUAUCUAAACAUACAUGGUUUUCAUAAUUAAUAUAAAAUUGGAUUGGUGCAUGAACAGACAAACUAGUGAAACACAAUAGAGUGUUCUUAACUACCUAUAUAGAUAGGAAAAUUUAUUCAAUGGAAUGAUGGGAUUACAGAUUGUUGGCUAAAGAAUACAUCAUAUAAGUGAAAUAAGCCAGGCACAGAAAGACAAUGCUGUAUGAUUUCAUUUAUACAUGGAAUUUGAAAUACUUAAUUCUCAUUAGAACAGAGUAGAAAGAUGAUUACUAAGGGAUGGGGUUUGCAAGGGAAAGAUGGAGGAAGGGAAGAUGCUAAUCAAAAGAUACAAAGUCUCAGCUUUUAUCUAUUGCACCAAAUACUGACUGUAGUAAAUAAUAAUGUGUGUUUUCAAAUAUCUAAAAGAAUAUAUUGAAAUACAUACAUACUCACACAAAGUAAGUACUCAUCCAAUUGCACUUGCCAGGCAGGUGCUUAAAGUGCUGAGAUAAUCCCCAGCCCUAAGUUAAUUGUUUUUAUUGCAUUGCUUACAAUGUAUAGAUUGAAAUAUCACAUUGUACUCUAUAAAUAUUAUAUGUCAGUUGAAAGGAAAACAACUUUUAAAAAGAAAACUCAAGAAGUAGCAUAUUAUUGCAAGACCAUACAAUAAGAGAAAUUUUUUCAAAUUAACUUUUCAAAUACUCCUAGAUCCUAAGACAAUAUUGGGAAACCUCCUGGUACUUAAUGAACUCUCUGAAUCUUGGAUGAACCCAAAGUACUUUAGCAUAUCUCUUAUAACGCAAAUUUCCUAUGAAGAAGUGACCAUGUUGUUAUAAGGUUAUUGUGGAGAACAGCUAAACCUGGAGAUCAUUCACAUAUGUGGAACACCUAAGGUCAGCAAUACCAAAAACUGUUCCAGCUCCAAGAACACAGAGAACUGGAAGCAAUCCAGACAGGUUGCUACGUGGAGGGAUGCCCCUGACAUCAACCUGCUGAAUGUAUAAAUAAAUGUGCUACAGUCAUUGAGCAGUUCCUUUCACUCAUCCAGAGAGAGGACUCCACCUGAUCUCAGCUUUCUGUUUCCUGAUUCAUGUCUUUAUUUCUUAAUCCUCUAUCACCCUUCACUCCAAGAAUUUUGAGAGCUGCACUGAAUGUGGCAUAUUGGUGUCUGAACACGGACUUGGAGUAUGAAGAAAUAGCGGGUAAUGGAACACCUCUGAAAGAGUGUGUAUGAACAAAAACAGGCUCAAGAGAGCAUAGAGGAAAGAGGUAUAUUGAUACUGAUUUCAUCAGGUUUAAAACACGGGAUGAUUUGUGUUGUACUCUAAGAAAAUAGCUUCCUUACAUGUGUAUUAUAGCAAACCUACAAUGUGGCUUACUAAAUGUGUUUUUUUAUCCAUUUUCCCUAACUGAUAUGUUAAGUGACCUAAUUGAUAUGUUUAGCAAUACUCUCCUCUGUAAAGAAUUGCAAGAAUCUCACCUAAUUGAUAUGUUAACCAUUGUUGCCCUCUACAAACUACAGAAAUUGUGCUAAAACAAGCUAACAAGGGUUGUUUAUCACUGUUUGGCACCUCUAUUCUCCACUAAAGAGCUAAAGAAAACUGGGAUGGCCCACUAAUUUACACUUGUUUGAAGUAACUUGCUUGUGUGCAGAGAGAUUUGCGUAUGAGUUUAACCCUUUACCUGACCUUGAUUCCUUUCCCAGAAAGGCACCUUCUCCCCUUACCUAUCUAUCUAGGCUAGGCCAUAAAGAAUUUGGGUUUCUGGUGACCUCUUCCCAACCUGGUAAUGAUCUGUCAUAAAAUGAGCCUGCCCCAAUUUUAAGAAUUGUGUAGCUUUAUAGAAAUUACCGGGAAAUACUAUGGCCCAAACCCCAAUCGGUGCUUUCCUUUUGUUCUGUAUGCAUCAAAUGAAUUAGAUAUCAGAUCUUUGUAAAACUUAAGUUUCAGCUUCUGGUAACUCUUGAAACCUUCGCACCCACUAGUGAAAAUGAGCUGUCCUGGGAUAAUUAACUCUCCACUUUCUUCUCCAAAUAUUGCUGCAGAUGUGCCACUCUGAGCUAAUGUCAGUCUGUAGGAUGGGAGUAAUAUGAGAAACACCAGGAACUCCUGAGAUUGUCAGAGCUAAGUGGACAACAAUACAGUUUCCAGAUUCGGGUCAACAAGUUUAUGGCUCUGCAGGUUUCUUUGUUUCUCCCCCCGCCCCUUUUCCUCCAGCUUCUUUUUAAAGUCCUCCCUUCAGUCUCUAGCACACAGUCUCCAAAUUAGCUCCUGGAGACUCGUCGCCAAGCCUGGAAAUAAAGCCUUUGCUACCUAAA